GUGUCAGCCGCCGCGGUAAUACGUAGGGGGCAAGCGUUGUCCGGAUUUAUUGGGCGUAAAGAGCGUGUAGGCGGCCUGACAGGUCUGCUGUGAAAACUCGAGGCUCAACCUCGAGAUGUCGGCGGAAACCGUCUGGCUAGAGUCCGGAAGAGGAGAGUGGAAUUCCUGGUGUAGCGGUGAAAUGCGCAGAUAUCAGGAAGAACACCUAUGGCGAAGGCAGCUCUCUGGGACGGUACUGACGCUGAGACGCGAAAGCGUGGGGAGCGAACAGGAUUAGAAACCCUGGUAGUCC
Molecule: ribosomal RNA, 292 nt
Filed under: uncultured bacterium
Lineage: Bacteria
Description: partial 16S ribosomal RNA
Rfam family: Bacterial small subunit ribosomal RNA
Source: RNAcentral